GUUUUGCGUGCUUGCCAAAAGACUUGUGAUAAUGAGUGGUUUGUCUACAACUAGGGCCACUGUCAAGUUACAAGGUAGGAGCUAGUUCUUGUGUUGACUGAACCUGAAGAUUGAAAAGACCCAUAGGUUAAGAGCCCCGUAGAAAACUGGAAAUCUAGUCAGAGGUUUCUGUAUGUUUUGUUUGGCUUUUGAGCUUUACUGAGAGACUCAAAAAAGGAGUCCAGCAUCUACUGCCCUGAAAGAAAAAUGAGAUGAAGAGGAGUCUCUGGAGAGACUGAGCAUUUGAAUUGAAGACAGCAAGGUUGUGAUGCAUUCUGAAAAGGAUAUAGACUUCAGAGAAACCUACAAAGAUGACUACAUACACCUUUAUGGGUAUUUUCUGGGAUAAAAGUACCAAGGAUACCAUCCGGAUCGCGUACACAAAGCAUAUGAUCAACACAAUGAGUGAAACUGGAAACUAUGAGAACUCAAAUAGGGAGGGUUGUAUAACAAUUUUUAAACCAUUUCUUAUGACUUAAAAUUAGUAGCAAGGGAUAAAAUUAUCUGUUUAUCUUCAGCAGAUUAACACCAUUUGUUGCAUACAAUUCUAAGGGUCAAAUCUUUUUAUUUACAUAAGUUUUUAAUCAAGAUUGGUUUGUGGGUGUCAGUACAGUCAUUCUAACUCUACAUAUGGAGAGAAAAACAAAAGUUUAUCUUACCAACGUUUUUUUUCUCUUCAUGUUACAGUCCAUGGGGGGCACGAGACAAAAGUAUGGCAUUCAUAAGAUCACAACUGUGCAGCUGCAAGGCGUCCUGUCCUGUUCCUGUGUGGGCUGCCCACGCCAGUGGUUGCACCAAGGCAAUGGUCCCGGCUCAUCUUGGGGGAUGCUGCCCUGGUUUCCCCUUUUUGGUAGGUCUGAGCAGGGGUGACUGGGAGUGCUUAUUGCCAGGAAGAGGUGAUCCCUGCUGCACCAAGCAUAGUGGUCUCACCUUCCUUUGCUUGUUGUAGGGAAGAAAUGGGUAAGAGUUAACUGUCCUUGCUAGGAGGAUAUGCAGCACUGGAAAAUGGUAUCCAGGGAGACUGCGAAGAUGCUUUCCUUGGGGGUUUUCAAGACUUGGCACUGCCAUUGCUGACCUGAGCCAGGCUGGCAAUAGUCCAGCUACAAGUAGGGGUUGGGAGCUGGUCACCUCCAAGGCCUCCUUCAGCAAAUGUUUAAAUUGUCACUCCUCUAUCGUUGAGGAAAUGCAUGUAUAGCAGUAGCCACUGCUAGUGGCAGAGCAAUUGUUGCCUGAUUGUAACUAUGACUGUUGCUGAUCUAUCCACAGUGAGGCAGAGGAGUUUCUCCUUUUCUCCUGUUCUUAUGGUGAAAGACCUUAACGGCAUCUGG
This 1367-nucleotide long non-coding RNA is filed under the name Anas platyrhynchos platyrhynchos (common mallard). Its description in RNAcentral is "lncRNA (ENSAPLG00000018927.1)". The record is from RNAcentral. Lineage: Eukaryota; Metazoa; Chordata; Aves; Anseriformes; Anatidae.